GGCUUCCUACGGGGCGCAGCAGUGGGGAAUAUUGCACAAUGGGGGAAACCCUGAUGCAGCAACGCCGCGUGAGUGAAGAAGUAUUUUGGUAUGUAAAGCUCUAUCAGUAGGGAAGAAGAAAGACGGUACCUGACUAAGAAGCCCCGGCUAACUACGUGCCAGCAGCCGCGGUAAUACGUAGGGGGCAAGCGUUAUCCGGAUUUACUGGGUGUAAAGGGAGCGUAGACGGCUGUGCAAGUCUGAAGUGAAAGCCCGUGGCUCCACCGCGGAACUGCUUUGGAAACUGUACAGCUUGAGUACUGGAG
This 305-nucleotide ribosomal RNA is filed under the name uncultured bacterium. RNAcentral's name for it is "bacterial SSU rRNA". It matches the Rfam family "Bacterial small subunit ribosomal RNA", at positions 333 to 654 of the family's 1533-position model. The record is from RNAcentral.